GGCCUUGCGCUAUCAGAUGAGCCUAGGUCGGAUUAGCUAGUUGGUGAGGUAAUGGCUCACCAAGGCGACGAUCCGUAACUGGUCUGAGAGGAUGAUCAGUCACACUGGAACUGAGACACGGUCCAGACUCCUACGGGAGGCAGCAGUGGGGAAUAUUGGACAAUGGGCGAAAGCCUGAUCCAGCCAUGCCGCGUGUGUGAAGAAGGUCUUCGGAUUGUAAAGCACUUUAAGUUGGGAGGAAGGGCAGUA
RNAcentral lists this ribosomal RNA (249 nucleotides) under Pseudomonas sp. SVB3R5. RNAcentral describes it as "partial 16S ribosomal RNA". It matches the Rfam family "Bacterial small subunit ribosomal RNA", at positions 209 to 457 of the family's 1533-position model. The record is from RNAcentral. Lineage: Bacteria; Pseudomonadati; Pseudomonadota; Gammaproteobacteria; Pseudomonadales; Pseudomonadaceae.